GACGAACGCUGGCGGCGGGCUUAACACAUGCAAGUCGAACGAACGCCUUCGGGCGUUAGUGGCGCACGGGUGAGUAACACGUAGGCAAUCUACCCUCGGCUGGGGAAUAACCAGGGGAAACCCUGGCUAAUACCGCAUAACAUCUGGACGUCGCCUGGCGACCAGAUCAAAGCUUUAUGUGGCCGAGGAUGAGCCUGCGUCGGAUUAGCUAGUUGGUGGGGUAACGGCCUACCAAGGCGACGAUCCGUAGCGGGUCUGAGAGGAUGAUCCGCCACACUGGCACUGAGACACGGGCCAGACUCCUACGGGAGGCAGCAGUGAGGAAUAUUGCGCAAUGGACGAAAGUCUGACGCAGCCACGCCGCGUGCAGGAAGACACCCCUCUGGGCGU
This 390-nucleotide ribosomal RNA is filed under the name uncultured bacterium. RNAcentral's name for it is "bacterial SSU rRNA". It matches the Rfam family "Bacterial small subunit ribosomal RNA", at positions 28 to 426 of the family's 1533-position model. The record is from RNAcentral.